This 513-nucleotide ribosomal RNA is filed under the name uncultured cyanobacterium. RNAcentral describes it as "partial 16S ribosomal RNA". It matches the Rfam family "Bacterial small subunit ribosomal RNA", at positions 1 to 542 of the family's 1533-position model. Lineage: Bacteria; Bacillati; Cyanobacteriota. The record is from RNAcentral.
GGCCGCGGGAAUUCGAUUAGAGUUUGAUCAUGGCUCAGGAUGAACGCUGGCGGUAUGCCUAACACAUGCAAGUCGUACGAGAGUUUUUAACUCUAGUGGCGGACGGGUGAGUAACACGUGAGAAUUUGCCUUUAGGAGGGGGAUAACAAUUGGAAACGAAUGCUAAUACCCCAUAUGCUUUUAAGUAAAAUGGAUUUUAUCCGCCUAAAGAGAAGCUCGCGGCUGAUUAGCUUGUUGGUAAGGUAAAAGCUUACCAAGGCGACGAUCAGUAUCUGGUUUGAGAGGACGAUCAGACACACUGGAACUGAGACACGGUCCAGACUCCUACGGGAGGCAGCAGUGGGAAUUUUCCGCAAUGGGCGAAAGCCUGACGGAGCAAUACCGCGUGAGGGAAGAAUGCCUAUGGGUUGUAAACCUCUUUUUUCAGGGAGGAAUAAAAUGACGUGUACCUGAAGAAUAAGCAUCGGCUAACUCCGUGCCAGCAGCCGCGGUAAGACGGAGGAUGCAAGUGUU